AGAACGAACGCUGGCGGCAUGCCUAAUACAUGCAAGUCGAACGAACUCUUCGGAGUUAGUGGCGCACGGGUGCGUAACGCGUGGGAAUCUGCCCUUGGGUUCGGAAUAACAGUUGGAAACGACUGCUAAUACCGGAUGAUGACGAAAGUCCAAAGAUUUAUCGCCCAGGGAUGAGCCCGCGUAGGAUUAGCUAGUUGGUGAGGUAAAGGCUCACCAAGGCGACGACGGGUAGCCGACCUGAGAGGGUGACCGGCCACACUGGGACUGAGACACGGCCCAGACUCCUACGGGAGGCAGCAGUGGGGAAUAUUGCACAAUGGGCGAAAGCCUGAUGCAGCGACGCCGCGUGAGGGAUGACGGCCUUCGGGUUGUAAACCUCUUUCAGCAGGACGAAGCGCAAGUGACGGUACCUGCAGAAGAAGCACCGGCUAACUACGUGCCAGCAGCCGC
RNAcentral lists this ribosomal RNA (450 nucleotides) under uncultured soil bacterium. RNAcentral describes it as "bacterial SSU rRNA". It matches the Rfam family "Bacterial small subunit ribosomal RNA", at positions 26 to 518 of the family's 1533-position model. The record is from RNAcentral.